RNAcentral lists this microRNA (18 nucleotides) under Homo sapiens (human). RNAcentral's name for it is "hsa-miR-4711-3p". The record is from miRBase by way of RNAcentral. Lineage: Eukaryota; Metazoa; Chordata; Mammalia; Primates; Hominidae.
CGUGUCUUCUGGCUUGAU